UGGGGAAUAUUGCACAAUGGGCGAAAGCCUGAUGCAGCGACGCCGCGUGAGGGACGAAGGUCUUCGGAUUGUAAACCUCUUUCAGCAGGGACGAGGCGAAAGUGACUGUACCUGCAGAAGAAGCACCGGCUAACUACGUGCCAGCAGCCGCGGUAAUACGUAGGGUGCAAGCGUUGUCCGGAUUUAUUGGGCGUAAAGAGCUCGUAGGCGGUUCGUCACGUCGGAUGUGAAAACCUGGGGCUUAACCCCGGGCCUGCAUACGAUACGGGCGAACUAGAGUUCGGUAGGGGAGACUGGAAUUCCUGGUGUAGCGGUGAAAUGCGCAGAUAUCAGGAGGAACACCGGUGGCGAAGGCGGGUCUCUGGGCCGAUACUGACGCUGAGGAGCGAAAGCGUGGGGAGCAAACA
This 407-nucleotide ribosomal RNA is filed under the name uncultured bacterium. RNAcentral's name for it is "bacterial SSU rRNA". It matches the Rfam family "Bacterial small subunit ribosomal RNA", at positions 355 to 774 of the family's 1533-position model. The record is from RNAcentral.